UGCAAGUCGUACGAGAACACUCUAGCUUGCUAGGGUAAGUAAAGUGGCGCACGGGUGAGUAACGCGUGGGUAAUCUACCUUCGAAUUGGGGAUAACGUUGCGAAAGCGACGCUAAUACCGAAUAACAUCCAUUAAUCUUCGGGUUUUUGGAUCAAGGGUGGCCUCUACAUGUAAGCUACUGUUUGAAGAUGAGCCCGCGUACCAUUAGCUUGUUGGUGGGGUAAUGGCCUACCAAGGCAGCGAUGGUUAGCUGGUCUGAGAGGAUGAUCAGCCACACUGGAACUGACACACGGUCCAGACUCCUACGGGAGGCAGCAGUGAGGAAUUUUGCGCAAUGGGGGAAACCCUGACGCAGCAACGCCGCGUGAGUGAUGAAGGCUUUCGGGUCGUAAAGCUCUGUCAAGUGGGAAGAACCUGCAGUAUGCUAAUAUCAUAUUGCACUGACGGUACCACUGAAAGAAGCACGGCUAACUCCGUG
RNAcentral lists this ribosomal RNA (478 nucleotides) under uncultured bacterium. RNAcentral's name for it is "bacterial SSU rRNA". It matches the Rfam family "Bacterial small subunit ribosomal RNA", at positions 56 to 507 of the family's 1533-position model. The record is from RNAcentral.